GACGAACGCUGGCGGCGUGCUUAACACAUGCCAGUCGAACGGAAAGGCCCUGCUUUUGUGGGGUGCUCGAGUGGCGAACGGGUGAGUAACACGUGAGUAACCUGCCCUUGACUUUGGGAUAACUUCAGGAAACUGGGGCUAAUACCGGAUAGGAGCUCCUGCUGCAUGGUGGGGGUUGGAAAGUUUCGGCGGUUGGGGAUGGACUCGCGGCUUAUCAGCUUGUUGGUGGGGUAGUGGCUUACCAAGGCUUUGACGGGUAGCCGGCCUGAGAGGGUGACCGGCCACAUGGGGACUGAGGUACGGCCCAGACUCCUACGGGAGGCAGGAGUGGGGAAUAUUGCACAAUGGGCGGAAGCCUGAUGCAGCAACGACGCGUGCGGGAUGACGGCCUUCGGGUUGUAAACCGCUUUCGCCUGUGACGAAGCGUGAGUGACGGUAAUGGGGAAAGAAGCACCGGCUAACUACGU
RNAcentral lists this ribosomal RNA (467 nucleotides) under uncultured bacterium. RNAcentral describes it as "partial 16S ribosomal RNA". It matches the Rfam family "Bacterial small subunit ribosomal RNA", at positions 28 to 506 of the family's 1533-position model. The record is from RNAcentral.